AGUGAACGCUGGCGGUAGGCCUAACACAUGCAAGUCGAACGGAAGCACAGUAAGAGCUUGCUCUUACGGGUGGCGAGUGGCGGACGGGUGAGGAAUACAUAGGAAUCUACUUUUUCGUGGGGGAUAACGGAGGGAAACUUACGCUAAUACCGCAUACGACCUACGGGUGAAAGCAGGGGAUCUUCGGACCUUGCGCGUUUGAAUGAGCCGAUGUCGGAUUAGCUAGUUGGCGGGGUAAAGGCACACCAAGGCGACGAUCCGUAGCUGGUCUGAGAGGAUGAUCAGCCACACUGGAACUGAGACACGGUCCAGACUCCUACGGGAGGCAGCAGUGGGGAAUAUUGGACAAUGGGCGAAAGCCUGAUCCAGCCAUACCGCGUGGGUGAAGAAGGCCUUCGGGUUGUAAAGCCCUUUUGUUGGGAAAGAAAAGCAGCAGGUUAAUACCCCGCUGUUCUGACGGUACCCAAAGAAUAAGCACCGGCUAACUUCGUG
This 492-nucleotide ribosomal RNA is filed under the name uncultured bacterium. Its description in RNAcentral is "partial 16S ribosomal RNA". It matches the Rfam family "Bacterial small subunit ribosomal RNA", at positions 29 to 507 of the family's 1533-position model. The record is from RNAcentral.